AUCGAGCGAGAUCACACGCGGUCACGCCACUCUUCCCGUCAAGCCACAGCUCCCCUACGGAUCGUAGCGCCCAACACGACACGAGAGAGAGAGGCAGGCAUGCACAGAUCUAGAGGGACGGAGAAAUGGACAAGCGGUGGCGGUGGAGGGAGAGGGGAGGGCAACGGCAACGGCAAACAUGCCAUGCCUGCGGCUGCAGCGUGCAGGCGGCAGGGGAUGGCGAUGGAGCUACGAUACACCACGCUGCACUGCAGUGCAUUCAAGCCCAGGACACGCACAGUGCCCUCCGUCCCUGCCCUGCCCUGCCCUGUCUACGAUCUAUCUAUCGCCUAUAGUGGCCAGGAUCAAUCGGAUCGUACGUCACCAGUAGCGUAGUAGUACGUUCGUCGUUACACCUGCUGGCGCUCGAGGCAUGUCGGAGCGUGAGCUAGAGUCGCCUAGCCCUAGCUCCGUCGCCAUCGCUCCAUCGGCCUCCUAGUGAUCUGAUCCACGGAUCCUUCAAUGCGGCCCAUAAAUGCCCCAACCUCCCCUUUGUUUCUCCGGUUGGUUGGCGAAUUCAUUGCAUGCCCCCGCGAGAGCGCGUGCUGCCAAUUCCUUGUAUAUGUACCCACGCCAUGCCAUGCCAUGGGCGCCGCAUACCACCAACGCGCUUUGCACCCCCAACCGGCCUCCCUCCUCGUCCUCUUCUUCUCUCUACGCCUCUCUUUCCCGCACUGCCUCCAUGAAGGGAAAGCCGGCCUCUUCCUCAUUCUCUCCGGCCACUCUCUUCCCCCAUCUCCUUCCGGCCGGCGGCGCGCGUGAAACAAACAAAUCGGUGCUUUCCCUCCAGGUCGAUCGUCGUCAACCAUGCUUUUCUGUGUGUCAAUUCUUGGGUAAAUCCUGCGAACCUGUAGUGAACCUGGUCAGGUUUCGCUCACUAUAGCAACUGGCUCCUGAGGAACAGCACAAUUAAAGACUAUUUAGUGGUACUUAGUUAAGAUCGAAGGACCAAAAGAUCCUAGUACAGAUGCAGACUACAGAUACAGACAGUGCCAAGCUAUACCCACUGUGUCUGAAAACAUGGAAAUGAAGUGGCCAUUAAGGAACACCAGUCCACCCACAUUCAGUUGAGUCUUUAAUUACCUAUAAUGGCCUUAGUUGGAAACACUGUGUUAAUUACAGUAGUUGGAAACACUGUGUUCUGUAAAAUUGCCUUCUCUUGUAUGUGAAACCAGCUUUCAUGUCUCUCCUUCAGUUUCCUGGCUUUAUUUGUAAGAGAAUCCAGCUGCUCAGUACUCUAAUUUGGCUGUGUAGUGAUGAGUGGGCAAUGCAAAGACGACUAUACGCGUACUACUCCAGCUGAUGAAUUAGAUGGUUCUUGGUUGUCUUUGCCCGGUACUACAGUAGUAGUAGAUUAACGCUCAUUACUUACUGCUGUCUAUAUAUUUCCGGAUUCUGGGGACCAAGGCAGGGGGAUGUGGUGGUCAAGACUUUAUUAAGAGUAUACAGGCAAGUACAUUACAGGGUAUUUCCAUAUAGCAUGCGGAUUCUGGCGAUCAUUUGAUGAUUUGAAUGAAAGCUUCCUCACGCUGCCACAGGUAUCCGAUGCAUGUUUUUGCAGAACAAUCAAUGCAUGAACCGAGAAAUUAUUUGGAGUAGGUAGAAAAUGGUCUAUAAAAAGGAAUUAGUCAGAGGAGCAGCUAGCAAAACGUCGUUGUGAUUCGUACGAAACUAGUUGCAAGAGCAUUGCACCUGUAAAAACAUCCCUCUGAAUUCUAAACAAGUUGUACAAUACGUAUCACACUGGCCUGUGGAUAUUAAUUGUAAUCGUUCUUGUAUUUCCUAUUACUUGUAGCCUACUAAUUCUUGGGAAAAAGAACGCGUAUGUGAGAAUACUACCACACAUGUUUAGGGAA
Aegilops tauschii subsp. strangulata is the source of this 1895-nucleotide long non-coding RNA. RefSeq lists it as uncharacterized. Lineage: Eukaryota; Viridiplantae; Streptophyta; Magnoliopsida; Poales; Poaceae. The record is from RefSeq and is a predicted model, not a curated record.